GAUGAACGCUGGCGGCGUGCCUAAUACAUGCAAGUCGAGCGAACGGACGAGAAGCUUGCUUCUCUGAUGUUAGCGGCGGACGGGUGAGUAACACGUGGAUAACCUACCUAUAAGACUGGGAUAACUUCGGGAAACCGGAGCUAAUACCGGAUAAUAUUUUGAACCGCAUGGUUCAAAAGUGAAAGACGUUCUUGCUGUCACUUAUAGAUGGAUCCGCGCUGCAUUAGCUAGUUGGUAAGGUAACGGCUUACCAAGGCAACGAUGCAUAGCCGACCUGAGAGGGUGAUCGGCCACACUGGAACUGAGACACGGUCCAGACUCCUACGGGAGGCAGCAGUAGGGAAUCUUCCGCAAUGGGCGAAAGCCUGACGGAGCAACGCCGCGUGAGUGAUGAAGGUCUUCGGAUCGUAAAACUCUGUUAGUAGGGAAGAACAUAUGUGUAAGUAACUGUGCACAUCUUGACGGUACCUAAUCAGAAAGCCACGGCUAACUACGUG
This 497-nucleotide ribosomal RNA is filed under the name uncultured bacterium. Its description in RNAcentral is "partial 16S ribosomal RNA". It matches the Rfam family "Bacterial small subunit ribosomal RNA", at positions 28 to 507 of the family's 1533-position model. The record is from RNAcentral.